GUUUCUGAUGACAAUUAUCCCGAAUCCGGGAUGGGUGGUUCAGAAAGGUUAACUGACUAGCCUAGUUAAAUAAAGGUUUAAUAAAAUAAAAAUGCCAGAUAUGGAAACAUUUUUAUUAAAGUGGCAUUAAUAAAGUGACUAGUGAUCCAUUUGUUAGUGGCCAAUGAUUUCAAGUCUGUAUGUAGGCAGCAGCCUCUCUGUGUUAGUGAUGGCUGUUUAACAUUUUGAUGGCCUUGAGAUAGAAGCUAUUUUUCAGUCUCUGGGUCUCUUGUGAUAUAAUUUCGUGAUAUGUAACUUUUAAGUGGCAUGUACUUGAAACUAUCUACAUUGGUCAGUCCAAAAUUACUUUUCAAUUCUGUCAUGGAAAUACAUGUAUUUCCCGUUACCAAGUCUUUUAUGGUUUCAAUGGCUUUAGUUUACCAUGUUGGCCAAUUUAUCAGUGAGUUCUGAAAAGCUAUCCAAGGAUUAUUCCAUAGGGUUGUGUUUCUACAGAGGGAUAUUGGUUCUUGUAAAAUACUGUACGUUUCAUUUUCUUCCAUAUCGUUAUAGUGUUCUUAAAUUUGAAGUUGUUAAUGUUCUUAGCUUUUCCUUUGAAAAUAGUCACCUAAAAAUAUCUUGGGGAUGGGCAUUCAAUAUGUACCCAUUGUUCCUCUUUAGUGCAUUCAACUAUAUGUCGCAAGUUAAAGCCUUUGGUAGCAUGUUGAUACAUUUCCAAGUCUGGAAGGUUAAAACCACCGUCAGACUUAGGAAGAUGUAAAACGUUCCUUUUUAUUCUAUGAAUUUUAUUUGCCCAUAUAACCAGUGGGGUAAUUGGUAUUAUGGGUAUUAUUGAAAAUGGAUACAAAAACUUUGGCAGCCAUGCCAUUCUAAAGAGGUUUAUUCUACCUGUAAUAUUUAUGGGAAGAUUAUUCCAUUUGUUUAGCUCUCUUUUCAUAUUAUUCAGUAAUGGAAUAAAGUUAUAUUCAAAUAUUUGUUGUUUGUUAUCACUUACUAAGCAUCCUAAGUAUUUAAUAUUUUGUUGUUCCACUUAAAAGAUUGCUGUACAUCAUAUAUUUCCUAUCGCCAUUAUUUCUUUUUUUCCUAGUUCAUUUUAUAAGCUGAUAUUUUUGAAUAUUCUGAAAAUAUUUUAAGUAAAGGGGGCACUGUUUUCAGUAUUGGUUAGGUAUAUCAGGAGAUCAUCUGCAAAUACGUUUCGUUUAUAUUCAUGUUUACUAACACUGAUACCUGUUACAUUUAAGUCCUGUCUAAUUAUUUUUGCAAGCGGUUCAAUUGCCAGUGCAAACAGGAGAGGAGAGGACAUCCCUGCCUUGUUCCCCUUUCUAAAGCAAUUUCAUCAGAUAAUGUAUUGUUUGAAUAUAUUUUUGCUUUAGGAUAUUUAUACAAUAUUUGUAUUACAUGUAUUAUUUCAGCUGGAAAAUUGAAAGCUUCCACAGUUUUGAAUAGAAAAGUCAGUUCAAGACCAUCUAAAGCCUUUUCGGCAUCAACAGCCAUUAUUGAUUAAUCUAUAUCUUGUUUUUUUGCGUAAUGUAUUAAACUGAAACAUGUUCUUGUAUUUGUUCGUAAGUGUCUAUUUUUAAUGAACAAUGUUUGGUCAACAUGUAUCAAGUCUGGUAAGACUUUUGCCAUGCUAUUGCUUAUAAGCUUUGUUUUUAUUCUAUUAUCAGAAGUUAUUAAACGUAUGGGUCUGUAAUCAGGAGGGUACUCUCUAGAUUUUCCUGGUUUUAAUAGAACUGAAAUAGGUGUUUGAUACAUGGAACUAGGAAGUAUUGAAUUAAGUGAUAUAUAAAUGUGUAAUUCAUCGCAUUGUUAUUUCUAAUUGCCGCUUUUGUAUGUUUAUCUUUUAAAACUAUAACUGGUUUAGCAUGUAUUCAUUUUGUGAGCGCAGUGAGAUAUUUACCAGGUUUAUUUGCUGUUAAAUAUGCUUAAUUUGAGUUUAACCUAUAGUUAUUGGCUUUCUUCAAAAGUUAAAGAUAAUAUUGCUGCUUAUGUUCAGAAAAGUGAUUUUUUUCCUUCACCAUAUAAAGAUUAUUAUGGACAUUUUCUAAAAUAGUGAUUUAUUUUAAUUUCUAAAUCAGAUUUAAAUUUAGCAGAAUAUGAUAUUAUCAUUCCCCUAAUCAAUAUGCUUUUUAAAAGACAGCUUUUCAUCUAUCCAGAUGCCCAGAUAUUUUUAAGGGACACGAUCAAUAUGGACACCAUCCAAAGUACAUAUGCUUAAAUCAUCAGUUCUUUUUAUGCACUCUGGAGAUCAACAUAUACUUAGUUUUACCUACAUUCAACACUAAUUUCAGGUCAAGUUUUUCUGUAAUACAAUGAAGGCAGACUAGUUCAGAUAGAGCCUGGUCAACCAUGGGGGCAAUAACAUACACAACAGUAUCAUUGGCAUACAAGUGCAGGUUACAAUUGUUUUUACAGACAAGUCGAUAUUGUUAAUGUAACCAGUAAAAAGUACAGGACAUAGAAUCGACCCCUGCGGGAUACCUUUUGUAAUAUUCCCGGAAACCUGAUUUAACACCAUCAGUAGAUACACAUUAAGUUUUCUCUGUUUAACCUGUCUAGGAUGAGGGUGCCGCUAGCGGCACACCCCCCCCACCCCCACUGAAAAGGCAGAGCCGCGAAAUUCAAAAAAAUUUUUUUUUUUAAAUAUUUAACUUUCACACAUUAAAGUCCAAUACAGCUAAUGAAAGACACAGAUCUUGUGAAUCCAGCCAACAUGUCCGAUUUUUAAAAUGUUUUACAGGGAAGACACAAUAUGUAAAGAUGUAAAUCUAUUAGCUAAAAACACAUUAGCAUAAUCCACCAUCUUUUCUUUGUCCACCAACACCAGUAGCCAUCACCAAUUCGGCUAAACUAAGAUAUUUAUAGCCCCUAACCAAGAAAAAAACUCAUCAGAUGACAGUCUGAUAACAUAUUUAUGGUAUGGGAUAGGUUUUGUUAGAAAAAUGUGCAUAUUUCAGGUAGAUGGCAUAGGUUACAAUUGCACCCACCGUCACAAAUGGACUAGAAUAACUACAUAGAGCAACGUGUUUACCUACUUACUAAUCAUCAAACAUUUCGUAAAAAUACACAGCAUACACUAAUCGAAAGACACAGAUCCUGUGAAUACAGACAAUAUUUCAGAUUUUCUAAGUGUCUUACAGCGAAAACACAAUAAAUCGUUAUAUUAGCAUAGCACAUGUGCAAACAUUACCCCAGCAUUAAUUCUAGCCAAAGUGAGCGAUAACGUAAACAUCGCCAAAAUAUAUUAUUUUUUUCACUAACCUUCUCAGAAUUCUUCAGAUGACACCCCUGUAACAUCACAUUACAACAUGCAUAUACAGUUUGUUCGAAAAUGUGCAUAUUUAGCCACCAAAAUCAUGGUUAGACAAUGGAAAAAGUAGCCCAGCUGGUGAGAAAAUGUCCGUGCGCCAUAUUAGACAGUGAGCUACUCGUAUACAUAAAUACUCAUAAACGUGACUAAAAAAUAUAGGGUGGACAGCGAUUGAUAGACAAUUUAAUUCUUAAUACAAUCGCGGAAUUACAUUUUUUAAAGUAUCCUUACUUUUCAAUACAGUUUGCGCCAAGCGAAGCUACGUCAAAAAACAUGGCGUCCUAAGCCACUAACAUUUUUCGACAGAAACACGAUUUAUCAUAAUAAAAAUUUCCUACUUUGAGCUGUUCUUCCAUCAGUAUCUUGGGCAAAGGAUCCUUUCUUGGGUCUAAUCGUCUUUUGGUGGAAAGCUGUCCUCUUGCCAUGUGGAAAUGCCAACUGCGUUCAGCAUGAACUGGAAGCGUGCCCAGCGAUUCACAGCGUUUCAGAAAUAAAUGUCCCAAAAUCGCACUAAACGGAUAUAAAUUGCUAUAAAACACUUUAAAUUAACUACCUUAUGAUGUUUUUAACUCCUAUAACGAGUCUUAACAUGACCGGAGAAAGAUUACUCCCAACACUAAUGCUUGGAACAGGUGCGGGUCGGUGUCCUCCAGGCGCAUGACGCAGCUCCAAAAGAGUGACUAGCUACAGGGUUUUUUAAUUUAUAGUGCCUGUGAACGCGCAAUCGACCCCAUUCAAAUCGUCAUCACGUAAAGGCAUCCAGGGGAAGACGUAAGCAGUGUCCGUAUACUCAUAGCAAUAACAGUGGCCUUUUAACUGACUCCAGAUCAGGGGCCAAAAUUUCUGAAAUCUGACUCCAUGUCAGGGAAAUUGCUGUAGAAUGGGUUCUGUUCCACUUAGAGACAAAAUUUCAACUCCUAUAGAAACUAUAGACUGUUUUCUAUCCAAUAAUAAUAAUAAUAUGCAUAUUGUACGAUCAAGAAUUUUGUAGGAAGCCGUUUCAAAAAAUACACGAUUAGCAUAAAUAGUGACAACAGCGCCCCCAGCCUCAACAGGUUAAGUAAUUAUUAAACCAGUUGCAUGCAGCUUGGUCUAGGCUAAUUGAGGAAAGCCUCUGAAUUAGCAGUGAGUGAUCAACAGUAUUGAAAGCCUGUGACAGGUCAAUGAAGAGGGCAGCACAAUAUAGCCUUUUAUCCAUACAGUCAAACACAUAAUUUAUAACUAGGGAUGGUCUAAAACCUGACUGACAUACAUUUAGAAUACAUUGCAAAGAUGAGGAAGAUCUUAGCUUAUAAUUAGUCAAGCAUUCUAAUAUUUUAGCAAGGCAAGAAAGUUUAGAAAUAGGACGAUAAUUAUUUAGGUCACGGGUCACCAAAUUUGUGAAGGGGGAGUGCAUGGGCCGCCUUCCAAACCUUGGGGAUAGUAGCAGAUAUAAUCGUCAGGUAAAACACUACGGAGGGGUUGUGUGUCUAACUGAUCCAGCUGCUUCUUUCCUCAGGUGCGUCUGAUGCUGGUCCUGGUCGCAGUUAUAUGUACCCUGUCAGGUAUCGGUGUGUCCCAGGUCCUCACCACCUACAUAAAGAACCUGGUCAUCAGCCGGCCAGACAAGAAGAGCAAGAAGCAGCAGGACGCCAUCUACCCCAUCAAAAACGAGGUGGCCAACGGGAUGAUUCUGGUCAUGACCUCCUUCCUCAUGUAACGGAUGUGAAAUGGCUAGCUAGUUAGCGGUGGUGCGUGCUAAUAGCGUUUCAAUCGGUUACGUCACUCGCUUUGAGACCUUUAAGUAGUGGUUCCCCUUGCUCUGCAAGGGCCGUGUCAUUUGUGGAGCGAUGGGUAACGAUGCUUCAUGGGUGUCAGUUGUUGAUGUGUGCAGAGGGUCCCUGGUUCGCGCCCGGGUCGGGGCGAGGGGACGGACUAAAGUUAAGCUGUUACACUCAUCACCUACACUUUUCACUCCACCUGGGUGACCAGCUACGCAUACCCCUCCCCUGCUAUCGUCCUGUCAGCCCACGGCAGAGAUGGCAGCCAAAUCAUCUUUGAUGACUUUAGAGAGGACUACUACUGGCUCCGCCACAACACCCCAGUGGAUGCUAAAGUGAUGUCAUGGUGGGAUUACGGCUAUCAGAUAACGGCUAUGGCCAAUCGAACAAUUCAGUGGACAACAACACGUGGAACAACACACACAUCUCCAGAGUGGGCCAGAGUGCCCCCCUUGCUAUGACUAAGUGAAAAAAGUUGAGAUAGGCAACGAGGACUUUGAGCUGGACGAGACCUACGCUACAGAGCACUGGCUGGUCAGGAUAUUCAAGGUAAACAACCCCCCCCCCCCCCACCCCCCCAAUCAGGAACUGAUUUAGACCUGGGACACUAGGUGGGUAUAAUUAAUGGUCAGGUAGAACAGAAACCCAGCAAGCCUUGGACCUUGUAGGGUAAGAGUUGAAUACCCUUGCCAAUUAGAUUUCCUCAUUGUUUAUACCAAGGAGUCAAAAUACAUCUUUGGGAUUUAUUUUUAAACAACACAUUAUUAACACUGUCCUGUGUAAAAGACCUGGAUAACCAAGGGCUCUGACGGACUUAAAGCCCUUUGACCCGUCAGCGUCAUACACCCCUUUUAGCAUACAGCACUGAAAAGCCUUCCCCUGUUGUCUACGGAUGAGUGUGAAAUUAAACUUUUUUAUAAUUUUGUUUGGAAAUGCUGUUUGUGGAUGAUUCUUUUUUUAGUACUUACCAAUGUGGCAUCUCCCUCGUUUGGGAAUGAAUGCGGAAUGGAAGGUGUUUCAUAACAUCCAAUCAAAGGUCAAGGAGUGAUUUCUGCAAUCAAUGGCCAAAUAAUGAUAUUGUCAGUCACUGAGCUUUGAAUUUUUACAAUGUGGUCAAUUAAAGAGGCAUAAAUGUGACAAAAUGGCAUUUUAUCAGUCUUCCUGUUUUGAAUUUGCUUUGUAUUUCAAUCAAGUUUAUUUUCAAUCAAGUUUAUUUUAUAUAGCCCUUCGUACAUCAGCUAAUAUCUCGAAGUGCUGUACAGAAACCCAGCCUAAAACCCCAAACAGCAAGCAAUGCAGGUGUAGAAGCACGGUGGCUAGGAAAAACUCCCUAGAAAGGCCAAAACCUAGGAAGAAACCUAGAGAGGAACCAGGCUAUGAGGGGUGGCCAGUCCUCUUCUGGCUGUGCCGGGUGGAGAUUAUAACAGAACUAUGCCAAGAUGUUCAAAAUGUUCAUAAGUGACAAGCAUGGUCAAAUAAUAAUCAUGAAUAAUUUUCAGUUGGCUUUUCAUAGCCGAUCAUUAAGAGUUGAAAACAGCAGGUCUAGGACAGGUGGCGGUUCCAUAACCGCAGGCAGAACAGUUGAAACUGGAAUAGCAGCAAGGCCAGGUGGACUGGGGACAGCAAGGAGUCAUCAUGCCGUGACGUAUGGUCCUAGGGCUCAGGUUCUCAGAGAGAGAGAAAGAAAGAGAGAACGAGAGAAUUAGAGAGAGCAUACUUAAAUUCACACAGGACACUGGAUAAGACAGGAGAAGUACUCCAGGUAUAACCAACUGACCCUAGCCCCCCGACACAUAAACUACUGCAGCAUAGAUACUGGAGGCUGAGACAGGAGCGGUCAGGAGACACUGUGGCCCCAUCCGAAGAUACCCCCGGACAGGGCCAAACAGGAAGGAAAAACCCCACCCACUUUGCCAAAGCACAGCCCCCGCACCACCUAGAGGGAUAUCUUCAACCACCAACUUACAAUCCUGAGACAAGGCCGAGUAUAGCCCACAAAGAUCUCCACCACAGCACAAACCAAGGGGGGCGCCAACCCAGACAGGAAGAUCACGUCAGUAACUCAACCCACUCAAGUGACGCACCCCUCCCAGGGACGGCAUGAAAGAGCACCAGUAAGCCAGUGACUCAGCCCCUGUAAUAGGGUUAGAGGCAGAGAAUCCCAGUGGAGAGAGGGGAACCGGCCAGGCAGAGACAGCAAGGGCGGUUCGUUGCUCCAGAGCCUUUCCGUUCACCUUCACACUCCUGGGCCAGACUACACUCAAUCAUAUGACCUACUGAAGAGAUGAGUCUUCAGUAAAGACUUAAAGGUUGAGACCGAGUCUGCGUCUCUCACAUGGGUAGGCAGACCGUUCCAUAAAAAUGGAGAUCUAUAGGAGAAAGCCCUGCCUCCCGCUGUUUGCUUAGAAAUUCUAGGGACAAUUAGGAGGCCUGCGUCUUGUGACCGUAGCGUACGUAUAGGUAUGUACGGCAGGACCAACUCGGAAAGAUAGGUAGGAGCAAGCCCAUGUAACGCUUUAUAGGUUAACAGUAAAACCUUGAAAUCAGCCCUUGCCUUAACAGGAAGCCAGUGUAGGGAAGCUAGCACUGGAGUAAUAUGAUCAAAUUUCUUGGUUCUAGUCAGGAUUCUAGCAGCCGUAUUUAGCACUAACUGAAGUUUAUUUAGUGCUUUAUCCGGGUAGCCGGAAAGUAGAGCAUUGCAGUAGUCUAACCUAGAAGUAACAAAUGCAUGUAUUAAUUUUUCUGCAUCAUUUUUGGACAGAAAAUGUCUGAUUUUUGCAAUGUUACGUAGAUGGAAAAAAGCUGUCCUUGAAACAGUCUUGAUAUGUUCGUCAAAAGAGAGAUCAGGGUCAAGAGUAACGCCGAGGUCCUUCACAGUUUUAUUUGAGACGACUUUACAACCAUCAAGAUGAAUUGUCAGAUUUAACAGAAGAUCUCUUUGUUUCUUGGGACCUAGAACAAGCAUCUCUGUUUUGUCCGAGUUUAAGAGUAGAAAGUUUUCAGCCAUCCACUUCCUUAUGUCUGAAACACAGGCUUCUAGCGAGGGCAAUUUUGGGGCUUCACCAUGUUUCAUUGAAAUGUACAGCUGUGUGUCAUCCGCAUAGCAGUGAAAGUUAACAUUAUGUUUUCAAAUAACAUCCCCAAGAGGUAAAAUAUAUAGUGAAAACAAUAGUGGUCCUAAAACGGAACCUUGAGGAACACCGAAAUGUACAGUUGAUUUGUCAGAGGACAAACCAUUCACAGAGACAAACUGAAAUCUUUCCGACAGGUAAGAUCUAAACCAGGCCAGAACUUGUCCGUGUAGACCAAUUAGGGUUUCCAGUCUCUCCAAAAGAAUGUGGUGAUCGACGGUGUCAAAGGCAGCACUAAGGUCUAGUAGCACGAGGACAGAUGCAGAGACUCGGUCUGACGCCAUUAAAAGGUAAUUUACCACCUUCACAAGUGCAGUCUCAGUGCUAUGAUGGGGUCUAAAACCAGACUGAAGCAUUUCGUAUACAUUGUUUGUCUUCAGGAAGGCAGUGAGUUGCUGCGCAACAGCUUUUUCUAAAAAAAGCUGUUACAUGAUGUUAUAUUUAAAAUAUAACAUCAUGUAACCUUGGCCAGAUUAAUUUUCCCCAAGAGAUUUAUAGAAGUCAACAUUGGACAACCUUUCAGUUCAGAAUUAUUUAGAUGGUUUUGCUUACUGAAUACCAAGACGACGAUAUUAUACUGAACAGAAAUAUAAAUGCAACAUGCAACAAUUUCAAUGAUUUUACUGAGUUACAGUUCAUAUAAUGAAAUCAGUCAAUUGAAAUACAUUCAUAUGCCCUAUUCUAUGGAUUUCACAUGACUUGGCAGGUGCAUAGACAUGGGAGGGCCCACCCACUUGGGAGCCAGGUCCACCUACUGGGGAGCCAGGCCCAGCCAAUCAGAAAGAGUUUUAACCAAGAAAAGGGCUUUAUUACGGACAGAAUUGCUCCUCUGUUUCAUAAACUGUCUGGGUGGCUGGUCUCAUGAUCCCGCAGGUGAAGAAGCCGGAAUUUGGAGGUCCUGGGCUGACGUGGUUACAAGUGGUCUGCGAUUGCAAGACCGGUUGGACGUACUAACAAAUUCUCUAAAAUGACAUUGGAGGCAGCUUAUGGUAGAGAAAUUAACAUUCAAUUCUCUGGCAACAGCUCUGGUGGACAUUUCUGCAGUCAGCAUGUCAAUUGCACACUCCCUCAAAAUUUGAAAUGUCUGUGGUAUUGUGUUGUGUUGUGUAAUGAUCAUGCUGUUUAAUCAGCUUCUUGAUAUGCCACACCUGUCAGGUGGAUGGAUUUUCGUUUGAAACAAGAAAUUCUCACUAACAGAAAUGUAAACAAAUUUGUACACAACAUUUUAGAGAAAUAAUCUUUUGUGCGUAUGAACAUUUUCUGGGAUCUUUUAUUUCAGCUCAUGAAAUAUGGAACCAAUACUUUGCAUGUUGCGUUUACAUAUGUUUUCAGUAUAUUUUAACUGUGGGGAAAAUGUACUAUAUAGGCAGUGGUACUUGUGGUCAGGUUUUUCUAAAUGGGUAUUUUAUUAGGAUCCCCAUUAGCUGUUGCGAAAGUAGCAGUUACACUUUCUGGGGUUCUCACACAUCAUAAAACAUGUCAUAAUACAGAACAUUAAUAGACAAGAACCGCUCAAGGACGGAACUAAAUAAACUCAGCAAAAAAAGAAACGUCCCCUUUUCAGGACUCUGUCUUUCAAAGAUAUUUUGUAAAAAUCCAAAUAACUUCACAGAUCUUCAUUGUAAAGGGUUUAAACACUGUUUCCCAUGCUUGUUCAAUGAACCAUAAACAAUGAAUUAACAUGCACCUGUGGAACGGUCGUUAAGACACUAAUAGCUUACAGACGGUAGGCAAUUAAGGUCACAGUUAUGAAAACAUAGGACACUAAAUAGGCCUUUCCACUGACUCUGGAAAAACACCAAAAGAAAGAUGCCCAAGGUCCCUGCUCAUCUGUGUGAACGUGCCUUAGGCAUGCAGCAAGGAGGCAUGAGGACUGCAGAUGUGGCAGGGCAAUAAAUUUCAAUGUCCGUACUGUGAGACGCCUAAGACAGCACUACAGGGAGACAGGACGGACAGCUGAUCGUCCUCGCAGUGGGAGACCACGUGUAAUAACACCUGCACAGGAUCGGUACAUCCGAACAUCACACCUGCGGGACAGGUACAGGAUGGCAACAACAACUGCCCGAAUUACACCAGGAACGCACAAUCCCUCCAUCAGUGCUCAGACUGUCCGCAAUAGGCUGAGAGAGGCUGGACUGAGGGCUUGUAGGCCUGUUGUAAAGCCAGGUCCUCACCAGACAUCACCGGCAACAACGUCGCCUAUGGGCACAAACCCACCGUCGCUGGACCAGACAGGACUGGCAAAAAGUGCUCUUCACUGACUAGUCACGGUUUUGUCUCAUCAGGGGUGAUGGUCAGAUUCGCGUUUAUCGUAGAAGGAAUGAGCGUUCCACUGAGGCCUGUAAUCUGGAGCGGGAUCGAUUUGGAGGUGGAGGGUCCAUCAUGGUCUGGGGCGGUGUGGCACAGCAUCAUUGGAUUGAGCUUGUUGUCAUUGCAGGCAAUCUCAAUGCUGUGCGUUACAGGGAUGACAUCCUACUCCCUCAUGUGGUACCCUUCCUGCAGGCUCAUCCUGAAAUGACCCUCCAGCAUGACAAUGCCACCAGCCGUACUGCUCGUGCUGUGCUUGAUUUCCUGCAAGACAGGAAUGUCAGUGUUUUGCCAUGGCCAGCAAAGAGCCCGGAUCUCAAUCCCAUUGAGCACGUCUGGGACCUGUUGGAUUGGAGGGUGAGGGCUAGGACCAUUCCCCCCAGAAAUGUCCGGGAACUUGCAGGUGCCUUGGUGGAAGAGUGGGGUAACAUUUCACGGCAAGAACUGGCAUAUCUGGUGCAGUCCUUGAGGAGGAGAUGCACUGCAGUUCUUAAUGCAGCUGGUUGCCACACCAGAUACUGACUGUUACUUUUGAUUUUGACACCCCCUUUGUUUAGCGACACAUUAUUCCAUUUAUGUUAGUCACAUGUCUGUGGAACUUGUUCAGUUUAUGUCUCAGUUGUUGACUCUUGUUAUGUUCAUACAAAUAUUUACACAUGUUAAGUUUGCUGAAAAAAAACAGUUGACAGUGAGAGGAUGUUUCUUUUUUUGCUGAGUUUACAUUUAAAAAACGGCACACAGCCUACAUUUCAAGAAAAACACUGAAUAUCUAGGUCAAAUAUGGGAGAGGAGUUGUGAGGUGUUGCUUCAUCUGUUUUUUUUAAAGCAGGUUUGCUGUUCAGUUGAGCAAUAUGAGAUGGAAGGGAGUUCCAUGCAAUAAUGGCCCUAUAUAAUACUUAUGCUUUCUUUAAUUUGUUCUGGAUUUGGGGACUGUGGAAAUACCCCUGUUGGCAUGUCUGGUGGGGUGUGUCAGAACUGUCUGUAAAUUGACAAUGCAAACCAUUUGGAAUUUUCAAAACAUUCAUACUUCUUAUAAAAAUAAGUGAUGCAGUCAGUCUUUCCUCAACUCUUAGCCAAGAGAGACUGGCAUGCCUAGUAUUUGCAUAUUAGCCCUCUGAUUACAAUGAAGAGCAAGACGUGCCGCUCUGUUCUGGGCCAGCUAAAGCUUAACUAGGGCUUUCUUUGCAGCACUUGACCACAUGACUGGACAAUAAUCAAGAUAAGACAAAACUAGAGCCUGCAGGACUUGCUUUUUGGAGUGUGGUGUCAAAAAAGCAGUGCAUCUCUUUAUUAUUGACAGACCUCUUCCCAUCUUUACAACCAUUAAAUCUAUAUGUUUUGACCAUGACAGUUUACCAUCCAAGGUAACACAAAGUAAUUUAGUCUCCUCAACUUGUUCAACAGCCACACCAUUCAUUACCAGAUACAGCUGAGGUCUAUAACUUAGGAAAUGAAAUGUAUUAAAUACAAUGCUCUUAGUUUUAGAGAUGUUCAGGACCAGUUUAUUGCUGGCCAUACAUUCCAAAACUGACUGAAAUUCCUUGUUCAGGGUUUCAGUGACUUCAUUAGCUGUGGUUGCUGGAAUGUAUACGGUUGAAUCAUCAGCAUACAUGGACACACGGGUGUCACGACGUGGCCUUUUGGGUGCAUAUUGUGGCUCCUCCCCCCUUCUCUCUCUCUCUCUCUCUCUCCUAUGUCAGGUUUUACAAUGGUCAUAAGUACUUGGUAGAAACUGACAUGCAGUAUUUUUUUAUUUCACCUUUAUUUAACCAGGUAGGCUAGUUGAGAACAAGUUCUCAUUUGCAACUGUGACCUGGUAUUGAGGCAGAGAGUCUACCAGAACAAAGAGCUUAUCUUUGUUAAAAACCUCUAAUCCCCAAAAUGGGAGAACUAAACAAUAUUUAUAUUUUUCAGAAUGUGGGAAUGGUCCGUCGACAUUUGAAGAACAAUCCAAUCGAAGUUGUUUGAUUUUAACAUCAUGAAGGACGGGAAACACACAUAAAUGUAUAUCUUAAUGUGUAUAUUUCCCAGCUGUCAGGUUUACUUUUAAAUAUUGUGAAACAUAUGUGAUUAAACAUGAAACUAUUUGUGAAAAGAUGUAAUGUGAUGUUAACCUUCUAAAUGAGUAUGGAUUUUCAUAUAAAGAUUUAGUAGUCAGUGGCCACACCCCCAUGAGCCCAGACAUCACAUUAGGCAUCAUAGAACUGCCCCUUCUUCCACAGAGUAUAAAACCCACUUCCUACAAAAUAUACAUUAAGUCAGAGAACGCCGGGAAGGAGUCCCCACGUUGGAAUGGCUACAAUUCUAUAGGCCACGGAGACCAUACAGAUGUAGUUUUGGCUACAUGGCUAGAAAUGGUUAAACUCUGAGACUAUUGAUUCACUACAAAGGGAGCAAAUUCUAGACGACAUGAAUUACUAGUCUGUAGUUAGAAAUUACGUAAACCUAGAACGAGAAUACCGACAACCGCCGAAGCAUCUAUUUAUGAGAACAUUUCCAAAUGGUACUCUGAAGUAUCCAUUCUAAACACUUACAACCACGAAAGACAUUGUGACUUCUGGGAAAGUUAACCUGAGACUCUGAUGAACUCUACAGGAUGAUCAAGUGUUUUCAACGGAGAGACAACGACAUACAAGCGUAAAUAUGUACAUUGCAAUUUCUUUCAGAAUGAGUGGCCGUUCAUGUGCAACGUAUUAGCAUGUCCAUGAGUACAAUUAUCAACUGUUUGUGUAAUCCAUCUAGACUUUCCUACUCUUAUUCUGCCCCAACUCUUUCCUUUGUAUACCAAGCCGUCACAUCGGCUUAGCCCACUAGGGACUUUUCUAUCAUUGUUAGUAACCAAUAUCUACUGUUUGUUUGUUUUGUAUUUCUGUGAUUAUUUUGUUAGUAAAUAAACAAUUAAGCCAAUUUGUAUAUUGCUGAUUCAUUAUGGAAACUAGGGUCCGUGAAGAAAACCAAGAAUUUUACGACGUUUGGAAUGAGACUAACAAAGGUAACAAUUAAUAAUCAUUAAUAGAUGACUGUAAUUGAUAAGAUAUUAAAAUAUCUGAAGAGUUAUAUUCGGUAAAUUAUAACUCUAAAUCUAAAUAUUUUCCUGUGGUGCCCUGACUUCCUAGUUAAUGUUUACAUGAUUAGUUUGAUCACAUAAUGAUUAAACCUAGAGAAAUUAUUUAAUAUAAAUAAGUCUUCACAUUUAAUGAUAGUCCAGACACAACACAGGCUUUGUUUAAUGACAGUGGCAGGUCAUUGGUAAAAAUAGAAAAGAGUAUAGGGCCUAGAGAGCUCCCCUGUGGUACACCACACACAUGUUUACAUUAGAGAGGCUUCCAUUAAAGAAAGUUAUAUUAGAUACCUCUGAAUCCACCAUAUGGCAGAGGUUGAAAAGCCAUAAAACAUACGUUUUCUCAACAACAGGUUAUGGUCAAUAAUAUCAAAGGCUGCGCUAUAAACAGUACAGAUCCCACAAUCUUCUUGUUAUCAAUUUCUUUCAACCAAUCAUCAGUCAUUUGUGUCAGUGCAGUACAUGUUGAGUACCCUUCUCUGUAAGAAUGCUGAAAGUCUGUCAAUUUGUUUACAUAGAAAUAGCAUUGUAUUUGGUCAAACACCAUUUUUUUCAAUAGUUUGCUAAGAGCUGGCAACAAGCUGAUAGGUCUGCUUUUAGUACCAGUAUAGACCGCUUUACCACUCUUGGGUAGCGGAAUAACUUUGGCUUCCCUCCAGGCCUGAAGACAAAUACCUUCCUCUAGACUCCGAUUAACCUUUUCUCAAUAGGGGGUGCUGUUUUCACUUUGUAAAAAUUUCGUUCCCAAAUUAAACUGCCUCGUACUCAAUUCUUGCUCGUACAAUAUGCAUAUUAUUAUUACUAUUGGAUAGAAAACACUCUAGUUUCUAAAACCGUUUGAAUUAUAUCUGUGAGUAAUACAGAACUCAAGUUGGAGCAAACUUCCUCUGAGGAAGUGAGAAAUCUGAAAUAAGGCAGGCUGUUCUAGGGUCAGUUUAUUCAUUUGCAUGUCUUCUAUUGGUCGAGAUGCACUGCAUACGCCUUCCCCUAGAUGUCAGCAAAUAGUGAGAAUUGGAAUGGAGUUGCUAGGCAGAUCUGAGGCCAUAUAAAGGGUCUUGGAACGUGGGGUGCAGUCUUUUCAACAUUCGCCAUGACGCAAGACAGACCUCAGGAUGGCGUUCUGGAAAGCUCCCGUUAUAGGCCUUAGAUAUAUCCGGCUCUGAUUUUAUUCGAUAUAGAUGUUAAAGACAUCAUAAUGUUGUUAUUUUAAACCGAGUUAUAUCAGUUUAUAUCAGUAUAUUGCGAUUUUCGUAUAUUUCUUUGUGCUGCGUUAUAGUGAGUCGGGCACGUCUUCGCCACAUGGCUAAUGUUUACUGCUAAUUCCAAAGUUGAAGGCGACAAUCUACAACCGAGCAACGAUUCCUCUGGACAAGGGACAACUUGCCCAAGAUUCUGAUGGGAGCUCAUCAAAAAGUAAGAAGUAUUUAUGAUGUUAAAACGACAUUUGAAAAAUGUCAAACUACUAUUCCGCCAUUAAUUUCGGUGCGGUCUCGCUUUAACGCACGCUGUAUGUCGUAGUAACGUUAAUUUUAAAAAUCUAACACAGCGGUUGCAUUAAGAACUAAUGUAUCUUUCAUUUGCUGUCCAACCUGUAUUUUCUAGUCAAGUUUAUGAUUAGUUACUGAUUAGAUUAGGUGCCUCUCCCAAGAUUUCUCCCGACAUUUUGUUGGCAGCUUGGCUACUAUUCUCAUUGAAUAACCACGAUUUGUGCCGCUAAAUAUGCACAUUUUCGAACAAACUCUAUAUGUAUUGUGUACUAUGAUGUUAUAGGACUGUCAUCUGAAGAAGUUUGAGAAGGUUAGUGAAAAAAUGUAUAUCUUUUGCUGGUUUAUUCGUUAUCGCUAUUGUUGGCUUGAAUCAAUGCUGUUGUGGGGUUGGCUAUUGUAGUAAGCUAAUAUAAUGCUAUAUUGUGUUUUCGCUCUAAAACACUUAAAAAAUCUGAAAUAUUGGCUGGAUUCACAAGACCUUUGUCUUUCAUUUGCUGUACGCGGUGUAUUUUUCAUAAAUGUUUUAUGAUGAGUAUUUAGGUAAUUCACGUUGGUCUCUGUAGUUAUUCUAGUUGCUUUGGUGAGAGUUGUGAUGGUGGCUGCAAUGUAAAACUAUGAUUUAUACCUGAAAUAUGCACAUUUUUCUAACAAAACAUAUGCUAUACAAUAAAUAUGUUAUCAGACUGUCAUCUGAUGAAGUUGUUUCUUGGUUAGUGACUAUUUAUAUCUUUAUUUGGUCGAAAUUGUGAUAGCUACCUAUGCAGGAAAAAAAUGGUGGGAAAAAAAGUUGUGUCUUUUGCUAUCGUGGUUAGCUAAUAGAAAUACAUAUUGUGUCUUCCCUGUAAAACAUUUUAAAAAUCAGCAAUGAUGGCUGGAUUCACAAGAUGUGUAUCUUUCAUCUGGUGUCUUGGACUUGUGAUUUAAUGAUAUUUAGAUGCUAGUAUUUACUUGUGACGCUAUGCUAGGCUAUGCUAGUCAGCUUUUUUACUGAUGGGGGUGCUCCCGGAUCCAGGAUUGUGAUGAAGUAGAUGUUAAAUAUAUGACAGAUAGGAGUGGCCAUCGAGUCAGCUACCAUCCUCAGAAGCUUUCCAUCUAAGUUGUCAAUGCCAGGUUUGUCAUUAUUGAUCGCUAACAAUUUUUCCACCUCUCCCACACUAAUUUUAUAAAAUUCUUACAAUGCUUUUUUUAUUCAUGAAUACAAUGGCUCUCUGUUCAUUGUUGGCAUUUCCUGCCUAAAUUUCCCCACUUUUCCAAUGAAGUAAUCAUUAAAAUAAUUGGCAACAUCAAAUGGUUUUGUGACGAAUAAGCCAUCUGAUUCGAUGAAAGAUGUAGUUGAAUUUCUUAAGUUUUUUUCCAUCAUUCCUUAUAUCAUUGAUCUUGGCUUCAUAAUACAGUAUAUUCUUCUUUUUGUUAAGUUUAGUCACACAAUUUCUCAAUUUGCAGUAAGUGCAUCUAGAUGCAUCUGAUCUAGAUGCAUCAGAUGUGCAUCUAGACUCAUUAGCCACUCCUUUUUCCCCAUCUCUUUCAACCAUACAGCUUUUCAAUUCCACAUCAAACCAUGGAGCAGUUCUAAGAGUCAGUUGCUUAAUAACAAGUGCAUGGUUAUCAAUAAUCGGAAGAAUCAAUUUCAUAAAUGUAUCAAGUGCAACGUCUGGAUGCUCCUUAUUAAUCACAUCAGACAAACAAAUAUUUUUAACAUCAUGCACAUAAGUCACAGCAAAAUAUUUUGUAUGAUCUCUUUUCUCUCUCUAUGAACUGGGACUGACUGACCCAGCUGACAUGGACCAGCUCGGAAGUCCCCGGCGUCUACAUCCCCGAGAGGAUCCGGGGCUUACCCAAGUUCCUCCAAGAGCCUCCGAAGACUACCGAUUCACCUCUUCCCGAGCCGAUGCAGCUCGGGCAGGGCUUUCUCCAGCCGAACGCUUACGCAGACUUGACACCUAGAGUUGUCUGUAUUGCGGUAUUGCUGGUCAUUUUGUUUCUACCGGUCCCUUCAUCGUGGGCUGGAGCCCGUCCUGCCACAGUCAUUGCCUGAAGUCAGCUCUGACUGCCUCGGGACGUGUUCCUGGGGGGCUUGGAAAUUGCCCCGGACCUCUCCGCCAGCCCCACAGAGUACCAGGACCUCCGGGAGGGGUUCAGUAAGGCCCGGUCCACUUCGCUUCCGCAGCACCGACCGGUAUCCAAGCAGGUCAAGCCAGAUGCGCUGGCGCGCUGCUAUUGUCCCGUGGCUGCACCCCCGGAAGCCGAGACCUUACCCCCCCCCCUCGCUCCAAGAUCAUUAACCCCUCUGUUGUCCGUCCUCUGUUGCCCCGUACCCUCCGUAUACUUCCUAUCUUUCCUGUGUCUAGAACUAAAACCAUGUCUUAACUUUGUCUCCUGUUUCCAGGCCCAUCCCUCUCCCCUGUCUCAUCGACGGCCAACCAGCGUACAUGGUGAGAGGUCUCCUGAAGGUUCGACCUCGAUGCAGGGGAUUCCAGUACCUGGUUGACUGGGAGGGUUAUGUUACUGUUAUGCCCUGAUCUGUUUCACCUGUCUUUGUGCUUGUCUCCACCCCCCUCCAGGUGUCGCCAAUCUUCCCCAUUAUCCCCUGUGUAUUUACAGUGGGGCAAAAAAGUAUUUAGUCAGCCACCAAUUGUGCAAGUUCUCCCACUUAAAAAGAUGAGAGAGGCCUGUAAUUUUCAUCAUAGGUACACUUCAACUAUGACAGACAAAAUGAGAAAAAAAAUCCAGAAAAUCACAUUGUAGGAUUUUUAAUGAAUUUAUUUGCAAAUUAUGGUGGAAAAUAAGUAUUUGUUGUUUUAGUGUUGGUCAGGACGUGAGCUGAGUGGGCAUUCUAUGUUGUCUGUUUCUAUGUGGGGUUUCUUGUAUGGCCUGAUAUGGUUCUCAAUCAGAGACAGGUGUUUUGCGUUGUCUCUGAUUGGGAACCAUAUUUAGGUAGCCUGUUUUGUGUUGGGGUUUGGUGGGUGGUUGUCUUCUGUCUAUGUGUCUAUGCACCAGAUAGGACUGUUUCGGUUUUGCCACAUUUGUUAUUUUGUAUUUUGUAGUGUUCACGGUUUUGUCGUUAUUAAACAUGAUGAACACUAACUACGCUGCGUCUUGGUCCGAUCCCUGCUACACCUCCUCUUCAGACGAAGAGGAGGAAAU
Molecule: long non-coding RNA, 18197 nt
Organism: Salvelinus fontinalis (brook trout)
Lineage: Eukaryota; Metazoa; Chordata; Actinopteri; Salmoniformes; Salmonidae
Exons: 3
Source: RefSeq, a predicted model, not a curated record